GAUGAACGCUGGCGGCGUGCUUAAUACAUGCAAGUCGAACGAAGGACUCCUUGUAGCAAUACGGGGAGGCCUGAGUGGCGAAUGGGUGAGUAACACGUAGGUGACCUGCCCCGAAGUGUGGAAUAACAGCCCGAAAGGGCUGCUAAUACCGCAUACGGCCUCCGGAGUUAGAGGUCCGGAGUCCAAAGGCUGCGCAAGCGGCCGCUUUGGGAGGGGCCUGCGGUCCAUCAGCUAGCUGGUAGGGUAACGGCCUACCAGGGCGAUGACGGAUAGGGGGCCU
RNAcentral lists this ribosomal RNA (280 nucleotides) under uncultured bacterium. RNAcentral's name for it is "partial 16S ribosomal RNA". It matches the Rfam family "Bacterial small subunit ribosomal RNA", at positions 28 to 293 of the family's 1533-position model. The record is from RNAcentral.